RNAcentral lists this ribosomal RNA (424 nucleotides) under uncultured bacterium. RNAcentral's name for it is "bacterial SSU rRNA". It matches the Rfam family "Bacterial small subunit ribosomal RNA", at positions 100 to 518 of the family's 1533-position model. The record is from RNAcentral.
ACGGGUCGAGUAACGCGUAUCGCAACCUACCUAUCGAGAGGGGAAUAACCCGGCGAAAGUCGGACUAAUACCGCAUAAACAGGGGCACCGCAUGGUGAUAUUUGUUAAAGAAAUUCGCUGAUAGAUGGGCAUGCGUUCCAUUAGGUAGUUGGUGAGGUAACGGCUCACCAAGCCGACGAUGGAUAGGGGAACUGAGAGGUUGGUCCCCCACACUGGUACUGAGACACGGACCAGACUCCUACGGGAGGCAGCAGUGAGGAAUAUUGGUCAAUGGGCGGGAGCCUGAACCAGCCAAGUCGCGUGGAAAAGGAAGAAGGAUCUAUGGUUCGUAAAACUUCUUUUGCAGGGGAAUAAAGUGCAGGACGUGUCCUGUUUUGUAUGUACCCUGAGAAUAAGGAUCGGCUAACUCCGUGCCAGCAGCCGC